CUGGCCUUUUGCUCUGGUGAUUGGUGUAAUAAUUUCCAACAUUCACCGUUGACACUUGAUACUACAGUCAGCUUCUAAUCAUCGUGUAAUGAUACAAACUCUUAUUUUUGACCUUUGCCCGCAUAACAAGUAGGACUACCCGCUGAUCUUAAUCAUAUCA
RNAcentral lists this ribosomal RNA (160 nucleotides) under Pyrrhoderma noxium. RNAcentral's name for it is "partial 28S ribosomal RNA". Lineage: Eukaryota; Fungi; Basidiomycota; Agaricomycetes; Hymenochaetales; Hymenochaetaceae. The record is from RNAcentral.